Molecule: long non-coding RNA, 2048 nt
Filed under: Panax ginseng (ginseng)
Lineage: Eukaryota; Viridiplantae; Streptophyta; Magnoliopsida; Apiales; Araliaceae
Description: long non-coding RNA (PGIN_LNC009224)
Source: RNAcentral
UCCUGUCUUAUGCGGAACAUUGUAUGAUUUUUACCAAAUAAAAAUAACCAUCAUAGAAAUCAGAGGUUCAGAUGCUAAUAUUACAUAUUAAAAUAAUAAGAAACAGAAACAUAAAUAGACAAUAUCAACCUAACUUCAAUCAGAACAACUCGAAAUAAGGAAUAUACAAGUGUAUACAUCAAAAUUAAUUCAAAGUUCAAUCACGUAUUGAUGUGUAUCGAAUAGAGAGAACAAAGUGAAGAUUCUAACCUACAACCGCGGUCUCCGGAGCUUCGCAAAUGAUCCGUCCAACACGACGGACGAGUCUAGAAGCACUCAAACUCACCGAUCCACUAAAUCGAGUCGACUGGAUCCUAAGUCCUCUAGAUUCCGGCAACUUAACUGAACUCCGGCCACCCGACAGCGCAAAAACGGAAGAACUGGCGAUUGGAGGAAAGGAGGUCGCCGCCAGAAAACUGGAAGCCCGAGGGAUUUUUAGGGUUUCAAGCACAGCAGCAGCCAUGGGAAGUAUAUGAAAAGAAGAGAGAAAAUCCGAUGGAGUUUACUGGUUUUGUGGCUGUGGGUUUGAUGGAGUGAGUUUGGUUGGAUAAACAAUUGGAGUGAGAUAAUGAGGCUUUAAUCUUAACCAUCAGAUCCAAUGGCCCAAAAUUAAUACAGUACUAACGUCCGGUACAUUUUGUACCGGACCCCUCGAUCCUUCUUGACUUCCUUUUUGGGACACCGGAAAGUAUUACAUGAAAAUUCAUUCCGUAAAGUAGUCGGCAAUUGAUUAUCAAUACUAUUUGCUUCAGCUUCAGGUACCCUCAUUCUCUAUCUUCUAGUCUCUUCUAAUUUAACCAUUAUUUUUGUUAAAAUAGUUUCACAAAAUGAAGUUCUGUUUAAUAUUAGUGGAGAUUUUGCUUUGUUUUUUAGCGAGCUGAUUGAAUUAAGUUGAAGUUUCAGUAUUUUUACAUUUAUUGGUGAUGAAUAUUUAGUUGUCAAAAUUUGAGGUUUUAUUAAACAGUAUAAACAAGUAAAUUUGCAGCUGCAAGGGGUCAAAUCCUACUCUGGAAAAUGGUUUUUGUGGGUGCAGGCAAGGAAAUGCUCAAUUAUGGUUUCGAAUUGGCGGAGGAGAGAAAUCUAUGGAGUAUAGGUCGCAGUCGAAAGUUCGAAGAGGGAGAAGAACGGGUAGGUGAUCACCAAGGCAACAUGUGACAGAACUCUAGAGAUAGUCUUCUUGUGUGUCUUCGAGAGUGAAGAAUCAAAAGGCUCCUCUCUUGGAAGGAGAGGGCUAUUUAUAGGAGAGGCAUUCUCUGGUAAUUAAUCAUGCACCUGGCACAUGAUUAGGCCAUGUGGCUGGUAUUUGACUUCAAAUUAACUACUGGAAAUGCCGUUGUUGCCUUAAGUGAUGCCUAGGUCCUUCUGUCUUUCUAGCUACUAAUCCAAAUCUAUCAAUCAUUUUCCAAUAGAAGCUGCCUCCAUAAGCUUUCUACCAAGGAACAUACGGAGGCCUCUUCGGUCUUUAUAUCAAUGAUUUGCUCCUUUGAUCAAAUCACGCUUCCACUUUCGUACCUCUUCAAAACACCGCAACUUAGAGGUUUCAUUGGCGAAGGACCCCAAGGGAGGCCUCGGCGAGCCCUACGGGUGUCGAUAGGGUUGUAAAUGUAGUCCAAAAUAUUUGAUAUUCGCUUCGAAAAUUCGUAUUUGUAUUUGCGUCAAAGCGGAUCCGUAUUCAGGUCAAAGCGAAUAUUAUCUGUAUUCGUAUUUGUCCAAAGCGGAUACGGAUACAGAUAUAUGCAUAUUCGUAUUCAUUAAUAUCCGUAUGCGUAAUAUAUAUAUGGCUGAAUAUAUGUAUAUAUACAUACAUACAUAUACAUAUAUAAACUCUCAUUUAAUAUUAGUAUACAAUAUAUGAAAGUAGUAACAACAAUUGAUUAUACAUCUUUUAUGUCUAUUGUAUGAUAUACGAUAUAAAAAAGAUACGUAUGUAUAUUGUAUCUAGUUUUAUUAGUUUAUUUGGUUGAUUAUAUAUUGUUGGGGCGUGAUUAUUUAGGUCCGGAUGAUUUGGU